Molecule: ribosomal RNA, 1100 nt
Filed under: Glutamicibacter nicotianae
Lineage: Bacteria; Bacillati; Actinomycetota; Actinomycetes; Micrococcales; Micrococcaceae
Description: bacterial SSU rRNA
Rfam family: Bacterial small subunit ribosomal RNA
Source: RNAcentral
CGAUGAAGCCCUGCUUGCAGGGUGGAUUAGUGGCGAACGGGUGAGUAACACGUGAGUAACCUGCCCCCGACUCUGGGAUAAGCCCGGGAAACUGGGUCUAAUACCGGAUAUGACUUCCUACUGCAUGGUGGGUUGUUGAAAGAUUUAUCGGUGGGGGAUGGACUCGCGGCCUAUCAGCUUGUUGGUGAGGUAAUGGCUCACCAAGGCGACGACGGGUAGCCGGCCUGAGAGGGUGACCGGCCACACUGGGACUGAGACACGGCCCAGACUCCUACGGGAGGCAGCAGUGGGGAAUAUUGCACAAUGGGCGGAAGCCUGAUGCAGCGACGCCGCGUGAGGGAUGACGGCCUUCGGGUUGUAAACCUCUUUCAGUAGGGAAGAAGCGAAAGUGACGGUACCUGCAGAAGAAGCGCCGGCUAACUACGUGCCAGCAGCCGCGGUAAUACGUAGGGCGCAAGCGUUAUCCGGAUUUAUUGGGCGUAAAGAGCUCGUAGGCGGUUUGUCGCGUCUGCCGUGAAAGUCCGAGGCUCAACCUCGGAUCUGCGGUGGGUACGGGCAGACUAGAGUGAUGUAGGGGAGACUGGAAUUCCUGGUGUAGCGGUGAAAUGCGCAGAUAUCAGGAGGAACACCGAUGGCGAAGGCAGGUCUCUGGGCAUUUACUGACGCUGAGGAGCGAAAGCAUGGGGAGCGAACAGGAUUAGAUACCCUGGUAGUCCAUGCCGUAAACGUUGGGCACUAGGUGUGGGGGACAUUCCACGUUUUCCGCGCCGUAGCUAACGCAUUAAGUGCCCCGCCUGGGGAGUACGGCCGCAAGGCUAAAACUCAAAGGAAUUGACGGGGGCCCGCACAAGCGGCGGAGCAUGCGGAUUAAUUCGAUGCAACGCGAAGAACCUUACCAAGGCUUGACAUGUGCCAGACCGCUCCAGAGAUGGGGUUUCCCUUCGGGGCUGGUUCACAGGUGGUGCAUGGUUGUCGUCAGCUCGUGUCGUGAGAUGUUGGGUUAAGUCCCGCAACGAGCGCAACCCUCGUUCCAUGUUGCCAGCACGUAGUGGUGGGGACUCAUGGGAGACUGCCGGGGUCAACUCGGAGGAAGGUGGGGA